RNAcentral lists this ribosomal RNA (579 nucleotides) under uncultured bacterium. RNAcentral describes it as "bacterial SSU rRNA". It matches the Rfam family "Bacterial small subunit ribosomal RNA", at positions 338 to 909 of the family's 1533-position model. The record is from RNAcentral.
CCUACGGGAGGCAGCAGUGGGGAAUAUUGGACAAUGGGCGGAAGCCUGAUCCAGCCAUGCCGCGUGUGUGAAGAAGGCCUUUUGGUUGUAAAGCACUUUAAGCGAGGAGGAGGCUACUAGUACUAAUACUACUGGAUAGUGGACGUUACUCGCAGAAUAAGCACCGGCUAACUCUGUGCCAGCAGCCGCGGUAAUACAGAGGGUGCGAGCGUUAAUCGGAUUUACUGGGCGUAAAGCGUGCGUAGGCGGCUUUUUAAGUCGGAUGUGAAAUCCCCGAGCUUAACUUGGGAAUUGCAUUCGAUACCGGGAAGCUAGAGUAUGGGAGAGGAUGGUAGAAUUCCAGGUGUAGCGGUGAAAUGCGUAGAGAUCUGGAGGAAUACCGAUGGCGAAGGCAGCCAUCUGGCCUAAUACUGACGCUGAGGUGCGAAAGCAUGGGGANCAAACAGGUAUUAGACUACCCGUGGUACGUCCGUACUAGUACCGUAAACGUAACGUAGUUACGUUACUUACGUACCGGUUCGGGGUCCGGUUUCGGUAGGUCGUUUACGGUUGGUCGGCGACGACGUAACCGACGAGUAA